CUACGGGGCGCUGCAGUGAGGAAUAUUGCACAAUGGAGGAAACUCUGAUGCAGCAACGCCGCGUGGAGGAUGACGCAUUUCGGUGUGUAAACUCCUUUUAUAUGUCAAGAAAAUGACGGUAGCAUAUGAAUAAGCACCGGCUAACUCCGUGCCAGCAGCCGCGGUAAUACGGAGGGUACAAGCGUUACUCGGAAUCACUGGGCGUAAAGGACGCGUAGGCGGGAUAUCAAGUCAGGUGUGAAAUCCUACAGCUUAACUGUAGAACUGCACUUGAAACUGGUAACCUAGAGUAUGGGAGGGGGAGAUGGAAUUAGUGGUGUAGGGGUAAAAUCCGUAGAUAUCACUAGGAAUACCUAAAGCGAAGGCGAUCUCCUGGAACAUAACUGACGCUAAGGCGUGAAAGCGUGGGGAGCAAACAGGAUUAGAUACCCCAGUAGUC
RNAcentral lists this ribosomal RNA (439 nucleotides) under uncultured bacterium. RNAcentral describes it as "partial 16S ribosomal RNA". It matches the Rfam family "Bacterial small subunit ribosomal RNA", at positions 339 to 795 of the family's 1533-position model. The record is from RNAcentral.